UAGACGGAUGCUCGCUGGUUUGGGCGUUUAGCUGUUAACUAAAAGUUUGUAGGACCGAAGCCUACUCGUCUAG
This 73-nucleotide transfer RNA is filed under the name Champsocephalus gunnari (mackerel icefish). RNAcentral's name for it is "tRNA-Asn". The record is from RNAcentral. RNAcentral also lists the same sequence under 1 other name. Lineage: Eukaryota; Metazoa; Chordata; Actinopteri; Perciformes; Channichthyidae.